Myotis lucifugus (little brown bat) is the source of this 75-nucleotide non-coding RNA. The record is from Rfam. NCBI's taxonomy places the organism in Eukaryota, Metazoa, Chordata, Mammalia, Chiroptera, Vespertilionidae.
GGCCGUUCUCGGAUGACACACCCCGGAAUCAGGCUCCCUUCUCUCUGGUUCCGGGUGCAUCACCCAAGAACCAUA